AGGCCCAUAGCUCAGUUGGUAGAGCGCCGCUCUUACAAAGCGGAUGUCAUCGGUUCAAGUCCGGUUGGGCCUA
RNAcentral lists this transfer RNA (73 nucleotides) under Parietochloris pseudoalveolaris. RNAcentral describes it as "Ettlia pseudoalveolaris tRNA-Val". It matches the Rfam family "tRNA". Rfam says of the family: Transfer RNA (tRNA) molecules are approximately 80 nucleotides in length. Their secondary structure includes four short double-helical elements and three loops (D, anti-codon, and T loops). Further hydrogen bonds mediate the characteristic L-shaped molecular structure. tRNAs have two regions of fundamental functional importance: the anti-codon, which is responsible for specific mRNA codon recognition, and the 3' end, to which the tRNAs corresponding amino acid is attached (by aminoacyl-tRNA synthetases). tRNAs cope with the degeneracy of the genetic code in two manners: having more than one tRNA (with a specific anti-codon) for a particular amino acid; and 'wobble' base-pairing, i.e. permitting non-standard base-pairing at the 3rd anti-codon position. Lineage: Eukaryota; Viridiplantae; Chlorophyta; Trebouxiophyceae; Trebouxiales; Trebouxiaceae. The record is from RNAcentral.